Molecule: ribosomal RNA, 467 nt
Filed under: uncultured bacterium
Lineage: Bacteria
Description: partial 16S ribosomal RNA
Rfam family: Bacterial small subunit ribosomal RNA
Source: RNAcentral
ACGCACGCUGGCGGCGUGCUUCACACAUGCAAGUCGAACGGAAAGGCCCUGCUUUUGUGGGGUGCUCGAGUGGCGAACGGGUGAGUAACACGUGAGUAACCUGCCCUUGACUUUGGGAUAACUUCAGGAAACUGGGGCUAAUACCGGAUAGGAGCUCCUGCUGCAUGGUGGGGGUUGGAAAGUUUCGGCGGUUGGGGAUGGACUCGCGGCUUAUCAGCUUGUUGGUGGGGUAGUGGCUUACCAAGGCUUUGACGGGUAGCCGGCCUGAGAGGGUGACCGGCCACAUUGGGACUGAGAUACGGCCCAGACUCCUACGGGAGGCAGCAGUGGGGAAUAUUGCACAAUGGGCGGAAGCCUGAUGCAGCAACGCCGCGUGCGGGAUGACGGCCUUCGGGUUGUAAACCGCCUUCGCCUGUGACGAAGCGUGAGUGACGGUAAUGGGUAAAGAAGCACCGGCUAACUACGUG